This 531-nucleotide ribosomal RNA is filed under the name uncultured bacterium. Its description in RNAcentral is "bacterial SSU rRNA". It matches the Rfam family "Bacterial small subunit ribosomal RNA", at positions 979 to 1509 of the family's 1533-position model. The record is from RNAcentral.
CCUUGACAUACUAAGAACUUUCCAGAGAUGGAUUGGUGCCUUCGGGAACUUAGAUACAGGUGCUGCAUGGCUGUCGUCAGCUCGUGUCGUGAGAUGUUGGGUUAAGUCCCGCAACGAGCGCAACCCUUUUCCUUAUUUGCCAGCGGGUCAUGCCGGGAACUUUAAGGAUACUGCCAGUGACAAACUGGAGGAAGGCGGGGACGACGUCAAGUCAUCAUGGCCCUUACGGCCAGGGCUACACACGUGCUACAAUGGUCGGUACAAAGGGUUGCUACCUCGCGAGAGGAUGCUAAUCUCAAAAAGCCGAUCGUAGUCCGGAUCGCAGUCUGCAACUCGACUGCGUGAAGUCGGAAUCGCUAGUAAUCGCGGAUCAGAAUGCCGCGGUGAAUACGUUCCCGGGCCUUGUACACACCGCCCGUCACACCAUGGGAGUUUAUUGCACCAGAAGUAGGUAGUCUAACCGCAAGGAGGACGCUUACCACGGUGUGGCCGAUGACUGGGGUGAAGUCGUAACAAGGUAAGCGUAGAUGA